ACACGUAGGUGGCGAGCGUUGUCCGGAAUUACUGGGCGUAAAGGGCGCGUAGGCGGUUUGGCAAGUCACAUGUGAAAUACCCGGGCUCAACCCGGGGGGUGCAUGUGAAACUGCUAGACUUGAGUGCGGUAGAGGAAAGUGGAAUUCCUAGUGUAGCGGUGAAAUGCGUAGAUAUUAGGAGGAACACCAGUGGCGAAGGCGGCUUGCUGGACAAAUACUGACGCUGAGGUGCGAAAGCGUGGGGAGC
Molecule: ribosomal RNA, 247 nt
Filed under: uncultured bacterium
Lineage: Bacteria
Description: partial 16S ribosomal RNA
Rfam family: Bacterial small subunit ribosomal RNA
Source: RNAcentral